GACGUAGGGGACGAGCGUUGUCCGGAUUUAUUGGGCGUAAGGCGCGCGCAGGCGGCUUGGUAAGUCGGGUGUGAAAAUCCGAGGCUCAACCUCGGACGUGCACCUGAAACUGCCAGGCUAGAGGUAGGUAGGGGAGAUCGGAAUUCCUGGUGUAGCGGUGAAAUGCGCAGAUAUCAGGAGGAACACCGGUGGCGAAGGCGGCCUUCUGGACGGAUACUGACGCUGAGGCGCGACAGCGUGGGGAGCAAACAGG
Molecule: ribosomal RNA, 253 nt
Filed under: uncultured bacterium
Lineage: Bacteria
Description: partial 16S ribosomal RNA
Rfam family: Bacterial small subunit ribosomal RNA
Source: RNAcentral